Molecule: long non-coding RNA, 1885 nt
Filed under: Pan troglodytes (chimpanzee)
Lineage: Eukaryota; Metazoa; Chordata; Mammalia; Primates; Hominidae
Description: long non-coding RNA NONPTRT018377
Source: RNAcentral
AAGAGUUUCAAAAAUCCUUUUCUGACUGCUCUCAUUUGAUGCAAUGAUAAAUACAGAAUACAGAGCUGGAUAUUGCUAUUUCACUUUUAUUUCACAUGCAGCUUUAAGACGUAUGAGCAUCAGCACAGCAAAAUGGUUCCAGCCUACAGAAUGCAGUCUCCCAGGGCCCUGCCAAGAACAUAUCUGUAUGUCUGGCCCUACAAAUGACAAAUGGUAAUUCCCUUCUAUUUUAGCUCUUAAUUAGUUGCUUUCACUAUUUCCGAAUAUACCUGUGGCUAAGUUUUUAUUGAAACACUCAAAAAUACCACUUCUCAGUAUGAACACAAUUGCUAAGAGCCUAAUUUGGUUCUGGACUAUGGUCAACCUGUGUGCCUUGUUAGUUCUCUCCAGCAGCUGGUGAGUAAGGAAAUGACCCUUCAAUUUCCUCUUCUUUUUCCUCUGACCUCUGUGACUUAAUUUUUCUUAAUGUCUCCAAGUCAUCAAGGGCUUAAUAAUUUAUGAAUUUUACAAAAAGCAUUUAAGGAAUAAGAAAGAGGUUCUGUGAUUUUUCAGACUCUGAAAAUUCAUUUCGAUUCUACAUAUUCCAGAAAUAUACUGGGUUGGAUGCUAGAGUGAAGAAAGCCGUCCAGACAAUUCUCCCAGUCCAUUCAUUUCUUCAUUCAUUUGUUCAUUCAGUAGUUAUUGAGUGCUUAUUUCCUGGGUGCCUGGCUCUAGGCUAUGUCCUGAGACAUACAGUGGACAGGGUCUCUACCCUCCUCACAACACCCUCUUCACCCUCCACGCCACCCCCUACUACUCACUCUCACCCUAGCAAGGAGCUUAGUGCUAAUAAGAGAGAGUCUUACCUGAAUGGCAAUCGCCCAGAUUAACAGUGGAGACAGUAAUGCAAUGCAGGAAGUUAAGUUUUUAAAGGUGAUUCUGUGCAGUAAGGUAUAAAACAGAUAUAUAAUAAAUAGCCUAGCUUAGUCUAACAUCUCUUUAGAAUUACACAGCUAAAAAGGAAAAAAAAACACCAAAAUAAGAUAAAAUAAAACAAAUUUAAACACCAAAAUAAGAUAUAAUAAAACAUUUGUUUUUGCAAAAUAAGGCCCAAUGUUAUGGCCUAAUGAAAGCUAUAUACUUGUGCUAUCUAAAGCACUACUUUGUAAAGAUGACUACCCAAGAUUGUAAAUACAAAAUUUAAAAAGGUACUUAAAUUUUCUGGAAUAUCCAUGUUUCAGAGGUAAUAUUUACUUUCUAUUUCAGUGGCUUAAAUUAUAACGUUUUGGCUUAAGUGUCUUUUAUCAAUACAAUGAUAAGACACCUUAAUCCUGAGAGAGAAAAUUAAGUACUGUAUAUAGGUGUACUUUGCUUCUCACAAUGAUUGUGCAAAAAGUCACGUGUAAAUUGAACUUUUGUAAAUCAAAUUGUAUUUUAAAUGCAUUAGGGGAGCUGCCAUUUAGAGGAAACUUGUGAAUUCUUUCAUAAAGCAGAAAACCAUUUUAUAAUACAAAUAACCAUUCUCUGAUUUAUCUCUUUUGUAUGUUUGGAUUUUCAAUAUCGACUUUGCUUAAAACAGAGCCCACCUGCAUAGUAACUGUGUUUUGCCAAGGCUGCUUGUGCUACCAGUUUGUUGGUGGCUAACGGCUUGUGCUUGAAAGUCUUCUGAAGUCUGAUGUGAAUUGAGCUAUCAAGCAAUGCUAUCAUAGCACAGUAGCAGUCCUGAACAGUCUGAGCAGCCAACCCAUUUCAACAAAAUUGAACACGGGACUCUUCUGCUCAGCAGCUCUCUUUUCUCAGAUGUGGCCAUGUUACAGCAGAGGGUAUUCCAUAAGCACAUAUUCUGUAAAGUGCUCAGAGUCACAGGUUUUAUAAUAAAUUAUGUUAUUAUGUAAACAUAUUGAAU